RNAcentral lists this ribosomal RNA (253 nucleotides) under uncultured bacterium. Its description in RNAcentral is "partial 16S ribosomal RNA". It matches the Rfam family "Bacterial small subunit ribosomal RNA", at positions 524 to 776 of the family's 1533-position model. The record is from RNAcentral.
UACGGAGGGUGCAAGCGUUAUCCGGAUUCACUGGGUUUAAAGGGUGCGUAGGUGGGACGGUAAGUCAGUGGUGAAAUCUCCAAGCUUAACUUGGAAACUGCCGUUGAUACUAUCGUUCUUGAAUCUCGUGGAGGUAAGCGGAAUAUGUCAUGUAGCGGUGAAAUGCUUAGAUAUGACAUAGAACACCGAUAGCGAAGGCAGCUUGCUACACGAGUAUUGACACUGAGGCACGAAAGCGUGGGGAUCAAACAGG